GUACACUCCUACGGGAGGCAGCAGUGGGGAAUAUUGGACAAUGGGCGCAAGCCUGAUCCAGCCAUGCCGCGUGAGUGAUGAAGGCCCUAGGGUUGUAAAGCUCUUUCACCGGUGAAGAUAAUGACGGUAACCGGAGAAGAAGCCCCGGCUAACUUCGUGCCAGCAGCCGCGGUAAUACGAAGGGGGCUAGCGUUGUUCGGAUUUACUGGGCGUAAAGCGCACGUAGGCGGACUAUUAAGUCAGGGGUGAAAUCCCGGGGCUCAACCCCGGAACUGCCUUUGAUACUGGUAGUCUUGAGUUCGAGAGAGGUGAGUGGAAUUCCGAGUGUAGAGGUGAAAUUCGUAGAUAUUCGGAGGAACACCAGUGGCGAAGGCGGCUCACUGGCUCGAUACUGACGCUGAGGUGCGAAAGCGUGGGGAGCAAACAGGAUUAGAAACCCUUGUAGUCCCAUGAU
RNAcentral lists this ribosomal RNA (454 nucleotides) under uncultured organism. RNAcentral's name for it is "partial 16S ribosomal RNA". It matches the Rfam family "Bacterial small subunit ribosomal RNA", at positions 331 to 801 of the family's 1533-position model. The record is from RNAcentral.